CAUGCUCAGACAAAUAGGGGCCCUUUAAAGUUUAAAUACCCCACGUAUUUUAGCGUAUUUCCCCAAAAUACUCCAUCACUAUGUUGCCAUAUGUUUGGGGAUGCUCUGGUGGUGUUUUAGGGAUUUUCGAUAUUUUUCGAUACCAUGGCCACCGGACGGUCCCCUUAAGAACUGAGUCCCAAGUAUAGGAGAGAGGAUGACCUCACCCCUAAGAACAACUUUCACUCCCCAAGACACACACCAGUACAAACCCAAAACUUACAAGGCAGAGGCCAUAUCCUGAGGUGGGUGCAGCACUUGUAUCCCAUGAUUGAGGGACAAAGCCAGAGGAGUGAGAGGAGCAUAAUAGCUUUCGCCCUGAGAAUGGUCCAAGAACCUCGAACCCCACAGCAGAGAAUACAUAGAACCAUAUAUAUAAGGAACCCAAAAGAAAACUUAAUGAAUUACCCUGAGAGCCAAAACAACAGGGCCCAGAGAAAAGGUAUCCAAAUACCUAUGAGUAAUAUCCAUGAGAUAAAAAGAAGCAAAAGUGGACAUACUCUUCCAGGUUCCUGCUCGAAGAACGGCAGGAAUAUUCCGAAUUUUCCUGAACAAGGCACUCGUCGCCACUGCUCUAACUUCAUGUUCCUUCACCUGAACCAAGCGUAUUUCCUCCUCAGACACAUCUACAUGCGCACACUGGAUAACCUGACAUAUCCAGUGGGAAAUAGUAUGAGGAUGCACUACAUGCCAAGGCUCAGAAUCUGUCACAAAAAAGCGGGAACAUCUAGGACAACAGUCCCUGGUUCUGCGAAGGUACUCCCUGAUGGCUCUAACUGGGCACUCUGAAAGAGCAGGAAUGGUGAAGUCGGACUGCAAUACAUCAACUGGGAGUUGAGUCUUCGCUAGAAAAUCCGAGGCUAAAGAGAAAGUCAUAGAAGCCCAACCCUUUGAGUGACGAACUUCCACAGCAGAUGCUAAAGCCAAGAGAAAGGAGGACUUCAGUGCAACGUCCCUCAAAGAAGCCAAACGCAGAGGCUCAUAAGGGGACUUUAUUAAUGAGCGUAAAACUUAAGGAUAAAUCCCACGCAGGAACGCGUAGUGAACGAGGGGGAGCCAACUUGGCAAACCCCCGAAACAGAGCUGACAGAUCCUUAUCUUGUGAGAUAUUCAAGCCAGCCUACUGGAAAACGGGGUCCAAAGCAGAACGAUAGCCCCUAAUGGACGGUAAGGACAAAUGUUUAGUGUCCCAAAGAAAAAUUAAAGUCUGUUAAAUCCAUCACAGAUGUCAAGAGAGGAUGACAACCCCUCAACUUACACCACCCACAGAAGACAGACCACUUUGCCUGAUUGACUCUGGCAGAGGACUGUCUGACCGGACGUGGGGUCAUAAAUCUAGCAGCCUUCCGUGAAAAGCCUCUCUUUCGGAAGAGAUGCUGGAGAGUCUCCACGUGUGAAGGUGAAGAACCCCUGGCUACUUGUGAAAGAGGUGGCGAUGAGGCUGGCGGAGCAGAGAGGCCCAUUGUAGCAACACUUGAGGAGACUCAGAAGCAGAGGAAACCAGUCUGCCUGGUGCCACCGCAGGGCAGAGUCAUGCGAACACAAGCGGAAUCUCUGACUCGAACUAGCACCCGCUGAAUCAGAGAGAAGGGAGGAAAGGCAUAUAGAUCCAAGCCUUCCCAUGGAAAGGCAAAAGCAUCCUCUUUUCAAGCUCCUGGAUUGGGCAGGGGAGGUACAUAAAGAGGUAACUGGUGAUUUAAGGCAGUGGCAAACCUGUGGUGCACCCCACACCUAGAAGACCUGCCUGCACACUGCAGGAUGCAGGGUCCACUCUGACCCCACACACUCAUGACUGAGGACAUCUGCUACUGCAUUGCACCGUCCUGGCACAAACCUUGGGAGAAGAAAGACUGAAUUGUCCUCGCACCACCGGAGAAUGUCCCCCGCCAGACCCGAGAGAGACUCGGACCGGAUGCCCCCAGAGUUUCUCAAAUAGGCCACCACUGUCGAAUUGUCUGACAUGAGAGACACCACUGUGCCUGAGACUUCCUGCUGAAAGGACUGCAGAGCCCAGAAAACAGCCAUCAUCUCCAGGUGGUUGAUGUGAAACCUCCGCUCCUGAGGAGACCACACCCCCGAGACUAGAGAGUCCCCCAGAUGAGCACCCCAACUGUGAAGGGAUGCAUCAGAAAACAGAGACUGUUCCGGAGGUGCCAUCACAAAGGGAGCUCCCUUGAUUAGAUGACCUGGAUCCAUCCACCAGGAGAGGUCUGCCAGACACCACUGUGAAGGAGGAACCUGCCAUGAAGGAGGGUCCGACGCUGCCUUCCAAUGAUUUUUCAGGCACCACUGAGGGGGCCGAGAGCGUACCCGGCCACCUGGGACAAGCCUCUCCAGGGAAGCGAGAUGACCCAGGAAUGACCUCCAUAGACACACUGUAGGGGCUCUGUCCUCUAAAAAAUUCUGCACCACUGAGAGAAACCGGCUGAUCCUUUCUGGCAACUGAAAAACCAGAGUUCUUACUGAAUCCAGCACCAUGCCCAGGUACUGCUUCCUUUGGCUGGGUACCAGGUCUGAUUUGGGCAGAUUGAUCUGAAUACCCAAGUGAGCACACAGCUGUAACACAUCCUGGAUGGCGCCUAUGCAUCCCUGGAGAGUCGUCCCUGUGACCAACCAAUUGUCCAGCUAACAGCGCAGGAAGAUAUUGUGUCGAUGAGCCCAUGAAGACACUGGAGCCAUCACUUUGGUGAAGACCUGUGGGAUGGUGGCGAAGCCAAAACAAAGAACUUUAAACUGAAAAACCUUGCUCUACACAAGGCACAUGAGUCUGGUUGACCAGCAUGGGAGUCUUGUGGCUGGUACCAACACUCACACUCUGGGAAUGGAGAAGUCCAUCAGACAUAAUAGUACUAAGCUCCACCCCCAAAGUACGUGGAAUGGUCUCACUUACGCCUAAUCCACGUGAUGGGAUGAUAGGCUGGUCGCCAGGCAUGGGAGCCGUAUGGCAGACGCUAACCUCAACAUCCUGGAAAGGAGUCUGGCUGCCAGGCAUGGGAGCUGUAUGGCAGAUGCCGACCUCCAUUUCCUGGGUAGUGAGGCAGCCGCCGGGCAUGGUAGACCGAUGGCUGUCACUAACCCCACCCCCAUAAACACUGCCAGAGGUACCAGGAGCACUGGGCAUUUCCUUAUCUGAACCACGAAUAAAGCCAUGGGAGGGGAUAAGAGGCUGGCCGCCAGGCAUGGGAGCCGUAUGGCAGACGCCACCAUCAAUAUCCCGGAUAGGAAUCUGGCUGCCAGGCAUGGGAGCUGUAUGGCAAUUAUUGACCUCCAUAUCCCAGGUAGUGGGGCGGCCGCUGGGCAUGGUAGACCAAUGGCUGUCACCAAUCCCACCCCUAUAAACAGUGCAAAACGUAUCCAGGGCACCGUAUACUACCUUACCUGCGCCAGGAACCACGGCAUGGCAGCCACCUGUUAUAUUUGCGUCUGCAGCAGAUGCUGGUACCAUCUCAACCUCGUGACUGCGACCAGCUGUCCCCGCUUGCCCUGGCCUCUGCACAGCCCCACUUGUACCCAGCUGGGAAUUGUCUACCUAUGAAACCGGAGACUGGAAACCAGAGAAGGGGGAACCCCGUGAAGAGGAAAGAAAGAGGGAAAGCUGACCCAACGUCUCCUCCAUCUUACACAUGCGUUUAUGCAGCUGCUGAGACGAAGGGAAAGACUUACGCUUACCAGAAGACUAAGCCUUCCUCCUCUCAGUACAAUCUUUAAUACUAUCCAAAAGACAUUAGAAACUGGUCGUGUGACAAGGCCUUGCAGCAAUCACAAUGGGAAGUAAGGCUACAAAACACCUCCCUAUAUGACAGACACUCCCCAUGAGGGUCCACCAUGAGACGGGAGGGAACGAGAACAUUUCACACACUUACGUGGCAUAAUAACACACUCACAACUCCUGGUAGAAGAAAAACAAACCAAGAAGCGACGAAAGACAAACCAACCACUGUUGAAAAGAAAAAACAACAAUGGGCCGGUGAAAGAGAUGAGCUUUAGACUACGUGUAAGCCCUGUGACAGCAAAGAGGCGAAUGAGGGAAUUGGCCUGAUGGCUGAUAACUGGAAAUAGAAAAUGGGCAGGAUGUCUUUGCAAAGAAAACAAGUAAGGGGACCAAGUAUUUCUUUCAUUUCUUUCCUUGAGCUGUUAGACAUGAUGUAAGUUUGCUGUGGGAAUGAAGGUUUAAGCAAUAAUUAUUAAUUAUGGGUAGUAGUAUGUGUAAUAACAAAUUAGUUAUAUUUUAUGUUGGUCAGACUGCAGCUAGAUUAUGCUGUGCAGUUCUGGUCCCCACAUUAUAGGAAGGAUAUAGAUCUAUUAGAAUCAGUGCAAAAGAUAAUGUUUAAAAGGAUACGGGAUGAGGGAUAUUAUUCCCUUUGAAGCGAGAUUGGAGAUACUAAAUGUGCAUUCCUUAGAGAGACGUAGGUUAAGAGAGGGCCUGUAGAAGUAUUUAAGUGGUUUAUGACAAAGGGGUCAUGAGCAAAAUUCUUAGGAUCAAUAACCAGGAUAGAACCAGAAAUAAUUGGUACAAGUUUGAAAAAUUUAGGUUUAAAAAAGAAAUGGGAAGGAACUGGUUAUCUAACAGAGUGGUUGAUGAAUGAAACACUCAUUAAUCAUGUUGCUAGUGUUGAGUCAAUUAGAAGCUUUAAAAAGAAUACAGAGUUAUGGAUGGAGAUGAUAAAGUGGAUUUUGGUAGUUUUCUUCUCACAGGAACUGCCACUGCAGUUUCUUGUUUUUUUUUUUUUUUUUUUUUUCUAAUUGCCUUUAUUCCAGGUUGAUAAUGUUUAAUGGCACAUAGAUCUUCACAUUCUUACCUUUUCCUCCUUUUUUUUAGUAGUAUAGUACAAUGAUAGCUGAUAUAUCUCACCCCUUGCAUUUGCUGUCUUCUCUUAAUUGUAUUAUGAAUGCUAUAAAUUUAUAUAUAGUUUAGGUUUCAAAGUUAUUAAUCCAGUCAUAUGAACAAUGAGCCAAUUAUUCUAGUGAGUAUUAGCACUUUGAUGUUGGUUACAAGUGAGGAAAUUGCCAUCGAUGGAGAAUGUUAUUUAACAGUCAUGAAUGAUGAUUAAUUUUGCAGAUGGUGGUGGUGGUCCUGUCAUAUUGGAAGUGCUGUCAUCAAAUGUCCCAGGAGAGGUCAUCAGUGAAGUUAAUAUCAGUACUAGUCCUUCUCUCAGUAAGUGGCAGAAAAUCAUUCAGUUGGUCACCAAGGUCCAUGAUCCUCUGACCAGCAACUUGUAAUGGCCAAGACAUAAGGAAAGACCCAUACACCAGUGGCGCCAGCAGGGUUGGCCUGGGGUGGCAGCGGCCACCCCACUGGCCAGUCACAAAUAUCGGUUGAAAAUAUCGAUUGCCAAUUUUAUUUAUUUUUUUUACAGUGUUGCCAGUGCUUGAAAAAUUAACUCUAACCUUUAAAAGCAUGAAAGAAAAGUCUAAAUCCCAAAAAUCUUGAAAAAUCUACACCAACUGUAUGAAAUGUUCCCAAAAAUCUUGAAAAAUCUACACCAACUGUAUGAAAUGUUAGAGAGAGAGGGGAGGUGGUGCUGGCUCAGCUGAUGGCCUUACGUGUACAAUACACAUGGUAAUGUAACAUCACAGCAGUUGAGCAAACAUCGUCUGUGCGUCACCUUCCAGUACAUUCUUCUGCUUUGCUCUGCUGGUAAGUGUAUCCUACUAAAAUGAAACUUAAGCAUUAAUUAAUCAUAUUAAUCUUUACUGAUAUAUUUUCACCCUCUGGCAUUGUGCAUUAUUAUUCACUUAAAGACACUCAAAUAUUAUUUAUGUCCCACGAGAAAAUAGUAAAGCUGAGUGUGCCAUUCCAGGUGUGGUGUUGAGUAAAUUGAGUAAUCUAGCUGAUGAGAGGGGCAAAAAAAUGCCACAGUAGGUGGGGUCAUUGGGAUGUACUUGUAAGUAUAAUGAUUCUUAUGGAGCUACGGUCAGCUAUCAUUAGAUUGGAAACGCUAUAGUGUCAGGGACAAAGUGGACAGUACUUAUAGGUUUGCCAAAAAACACAGCAACUGGCGAAUAAUGUUGUUCUGAAAAUGCAAUUGCAGCACUGAGGAUCUGCAACAGGAGAAUAAAGUUGUAAUAAUAGUACUAGUAAAAUAAAAUUCCUGAAAUUA
Long non-coding RNA from Portunus trituberculatus (swimming crab), 6140 nucleotides. RefSeq lists it as uncharacterized. The record is from RefSeq and is a predicted model, not a curated record. Lineage: Eukaryota; Metazoa; Arthropoda; Malacostraca; Decapoda; Portunidae. The transcript has 2 exons.